UCACUUGCUCUUAUUAAUUGCCUUAUCACCGAUCGUCUCUAGAGCAAGUGACAAAGGGUUUGAUGGUUGGUAUCCGAGACCCAAGUUCGAAUCCUAAUUGAUUCACAUAUUCAGCUAAGUUUAUUUCUAAAUGAAAUAAACGAAGCAGGUAGCGUGUUACCUAUCUCUCAAAAAAAAAAAUAAUUGCCUUAGUCCAACUAAAUAAAAUAUUCUAUGCA
RNAcentral lists this long non-coding RNA (218 nucleotides) under Ananas comosus (pineapple). Its description in RNAcentral is "long non-coding RNA (ACOM_LNC011030)". Lineage: Eukaryota; Viridiplantae; Streptophyta; Magnoliopsida; Poales; Bromeliaceae. The record is from RNAcentral.